The sequence is a transfer RNA, 85 nucleotides long. It matches the Rfam family "tRNA". From Rfam's summary of the family: Transfer RNA (tRNA) molecules are approximately 80 nucleotides in length. Their secondary structure includes four short double-helical elements and three loops (D, anti-codon, and T loops). The record is from Rfam.
GGAGGAUUCGCCUAGUGGCCUAGGGCGCACGCUUGGAAAGCGUGUUGGGAGCAAUCCCUCAGGGGUUCGAAUCCCCUAUCCUCCG